AGUGAACGCUGGCGGUAGGCCUAACACAUGCAAGUCGAACGGCAGCACAGGAGAGCUUACUCUCUGGGUGGCGAGUGGCGGACGGGUGAGGAAUACAUCGGAAUCUACUUUUUCGUGGGGGAUAACGUAGGGAAACUUACGCUAAUACCGCAUACGACCUACGGGUGAAAGCAGGGGACCUUCGGGCCUUGCGCGAUUGAAUGAGCCGAUGUCGGAUUAGCUAGUUGGCGGGGUAAAGGCCCACCAAGGCGACGAUCCGUAGCUGGUCUCAGAGGAUGAUAAGCCAGACUGGAACUGAGACACGGUCCAGACUCCUCCGGGAGGCAGCAGUGGGGAAUAUUGGACAAUGGGCGCAAGCCUGAUCCAGCCAUACCGCGUGGGUGAAGAAGGCCUUCGGGUUGUAAAGCCCUUUUGUUGGGAAAGAAAUCCAGCUGGCUAAUACCCGGUUGGGAUGACGGUACCCAAAGAAUAAGCACCGGCUAACUUCGUGCCAGCCGCCGCAGUAA
RNAcentral lists this ribosomal RNA (506 nucleotides) under uncultured bacterium. RNAcentral's name for it is "partial 16S ribosomal RNA". It matches the Rfam family "Bacterial small subunit ribosomal RNA", at positions 29 to 523 of the family's 1533-position model. The record is from RNAcentral.